GAGUUUGAUCAUGGCUCAGGACGAACGCUGGCGGCGUGCUUAACACAUGCAAGUCGAACGAAGCACCUCGGACAGAUUCUUCGGAUGAAGUUCUUGAUGACUGAGUGGCGGACGGGUGAGUAACGCGUGGGUAACCUGCCUCAUACAGGGGGAUAACAGUUAGAAAUGGCUGCUAAUACCGCAUAAGCGCACGGUACUGCAUGGUACAGUGUGAAAAACUCCGGUGGUAUGAGAUGGACCCGCGUUGGAUUAGCUAGUUGGCAGGUAACGCCUACCAAAGCGACGAUCCAUAGCCGGCCUGAGAGGGUGAACGGCCACAUUGGGACUGAGACACGGCCCAGGCUCCUACGGGAGCAGCA
RNAcentral lists this ribosomal RNA (359 nucleotides) under uncultured bacterium. Its description in RNAcentral is "bacterial SSU rRNA". It matches the Rfam family "Bacterial small subunit ribosomal RNA", at positions 9 to 353 of the family's 1533-position model. The record is from RNAcentral.